CGCGUAGGCGGUUUGUUAAGUCGGAUGUGAAAGCCCCGGGCUCAACCUGGGAAUUGCACCCGAUACUGGCCGACUAGAGUACGAGAGAGGGAGGUAGAAUUCCACGUGUAGCGGUGAAAUGCGUAGAUAUGUGGAGGAAUACCGGUGGCGAAGGCGGCCUCCUGGCUCGAUACUGACGCUGAGGUGCGAAAGCGUGGGGAGCAAACA
This 207-nucleotide ribosomal RNA is filed under the name uncultured bacterium. Its description in RNAcentral is "partial 16S ribosomal RNA". It matches the Rfam family "Bacterial small subunit ribosomal RNA", at positions 568 to 774 of the family's 1533-position model. The record is from RNAcentral.